This 554-nucleotide ribosomal RNA is filed under the name Salmonella enterica subsp. enterica serovar Newport. RNAcentral's name for it is "bacterial LSU rRNA". It matches the Rfam family "Bacterial large subunit ribosomal RNA", at positions 1011 to 1566 of the family's 2925-position model. Lineage: Bacteria; Pseudomonadati; Pseudomonadota; Gammaproteobacteria; Enterobacterales; Enterobacteriaceae. The record is from RNAcentral.
UGAAGAGGGAAACAACCCAGACCGCCAGCUAAGGUCCCAAAGUCAUGGUUAAGUGGGAAACGAUGUGGGAAGGCCCAGACAGCCAGGAUGUUGGCUUAGAAGCAGCCAUCAUUUAAAGAAAGCGUAAUAGCUCACUGGUCGAGUCGGCCUGCGCGGAAGAUGUAACGGGGCUAAACUAUGCACCGAAGCUGCGGCAGCGACACUAUGUGUUGUUGGGUAGGGGAGCGUUCUGUAAGCCUGUGAAGGUGUGUCGUGAGGCAUGCUGGAGGUAUCAGAAGUGCGAAUGCUGACAUAAGUAACGAUAAAGCGGGUGAAAAGCCCGCUCGCCGGAAGACCAAGGGUUCCUGUCCAACGUUAAUCGGGGCAGGGUGAGUCGACCCCUAAGGCGAGGCCGAAAGGCGUAGUCGAUGGGAAACGGGUUAAUAUUCCCGUACUUGGUGUUACUGCGAAGGGGGGACGGAGAAGGCUAUGUUGGCCGGGCGACGGUUGUCCCGGUUUAAGCGUGUAGGUGUGUGUUCCAGGUAAAUCCGGUUCACUUUAACACUGAGGCGUGA